AAACAAAUGCAGUAAAAAUAUUUUGUUCAUACUUAGCUUGUACUAAUGUUAAAGACUAUAUUAUUUAACAAAAAUUAUAUAUAUUAAUGUUAAUUAAAGCUUAGUUAAAAAUAUUUUAAUACAUUAUUUACUAAUAUUUUUUUUUAUUUACAGUUUUAUUUUAAGAUUAGUUUAUGUACUGUGAAAUAACAUGAACAUUAAUAUUUUUAAUGAUAGGAUUAACUAACAUAAAAAAAGAUUAAUAAAAGAUCUGAAAAAUAGAUUGUUCAUUGUUAGUUCAUGUUAGUUAUUGCAUUAACUAAUGUAAACCAAAGAGAGCUUAUUAUAAAUUGUUGCCAACACUUUUAAUGGUCUAUAACCAUUGUUAAAAAUCCUUUUAAUGAUCUAUAAACAUUUGUGAAAUGAUUAUAUAAAACUAUAUUACCAGUAAAAUUCAUUAGCUUUUAAGAAUACUAUUUUUUUGAAAGAUUUUUAUAAAUGAUUUAAAAUGCUCUAUACACGUUUCAACAACAAUUAUUUAAAAGUAAUCCUAUAGCUCCAUCUGGUGGUGGCCAUGAUUGGUAUUACACACUGCGCGUUUGGUGUUGCUAUCUGAACCGGUCAGAAUGAAGGGCGCCUAAAUGGAGCGCGAGAACAGGACUGGGCAUAUGCCUACGUAAGGCCAGGUUUACAAGCUCUGUCUGUGAUGCGUAUUUUUUUUCCGAGCCCAUGUUAAUGGAUCAGAGCGUUCACACUGCACACGGUAAAAAAUGUGAACAGAAAAGGUUAGAAAUAAAAAGGUGCGAAAAGAAUGAAUAUCUAGCGCCUGAGCAUAGAGAGAGUUGUGAGUUCACAAGACACAGUUUGAGCGAGAGGAGACGCGUUUUAACUGCGCGCAUUUUCUCCGGGCUAGAGCAUGUAUCUGAGCACGCGUGUCUGGUUUUGUGA
Molecule: long non-coding RNA, 927 nt
Organism: Cyprinus carpio carpio
Lineage: Eukaryota; Metazoa; Chordata; Actinopteri; Cypriniformes; Cyprinidae
Source: Ensembl